GAUGAACGCUGGCGGCGUGCUUAACACAUGCAAGUCGAACGGAAAGGCUCCUGCUUGCAGGGGUACUCGAGUGGCGAACGGGUGAGUAACACGUGGGUGAUCUGCCCUGCACUUCGGGAUAAGCCUGGGAAACUGGGUCUAAUACCGGAUAGGACGAUGGUUUGGAUGCCAUUGUGGAAAGUUUUUCGGUGUGGGAUGAGCUCGCGGCCUAUCAGCUUGUUGGUGGGGUAAUGGCCUACCAAGGCGUCGACGGGUAGCCGGCCUGAGAGGGGGUACGGCCACAUUGGGACUGAGAUACGGCCCAGCCUCCUACGGGAGGCAGCAGUGGGGAAUAUUGCACAAUGGGCGCAAGCCUGAUGCAGCGACGCCGCGUGGGGGAUGACGGCCUUCGGGUUGUAAACUCCUUUCGCUAGGGACGAAGCGCAAGUGACGGUACCUGGAGAAGAAGCACCGGCUAACUACGUG
RNAcentral lists this ribosomal RNA (465 nucleotides) under uncultured bacterium. RNAcentral's name for it is "partial 16S ribosomal RNA". It matches the Rfam family "Bacterial small subunit ribosomal RNA", at positions 28 to 507 of the family's 1533-position model. The record is from RNAcentral.